AGCCGAUGCUUAUUCUUCAGGUACACGUCAUUUUGUUCCUCCCUGAAAAAAGAGGUUUACAACCCAUAGGCCGUCAUCCCUCACGCGGUAUUGCUCCGUCAGGCUUUCGCCCAUUGCGGAAAAUUCCCCA
Molecule: ribosomal RNA, 130 nt
Filed under: uncultured bacterium
Lineage: Bacteria
Description: partial 16S ribosomal RNA
Source: RNAcentral